RNAcentral lists this ribosomal RNA (396 nucleotides) under Triticum aestivum (bread wheat). Its description in RNAcentral is "partial small subunit ribosomal RNA". Lineage: Eukaryota; Viridiplantae; Streptophyta; Magnoliopsida; Poales; Poaceae. The record is from RNAcentral.
AUGGCCGCUAAACCGAAAAGUUUUCAUGAUAAUAAGGAUGAAGAUCUAAAAGUGAUUGUUGUGUCCCCUAUUAAAUCCUUGUUUUGCAAUAUGAAUCUUGAUAAUUAUGGGACUGGAGAUGAGUCAACAUUAGUUAGAAGGCGUCCCAAUGAUUCAAAGUUUUUAGAUCUUGAUGCAAAAAUUGGUAAAAGUGGGAUUGAAGAGGUUAAAACUUUAGAUAGCAACGAACCCACUAUCUUGGAUUUCAAGGAAUUUAAUUAUGAUAAUUGCUCUUUAAUAGAUUGUAUUUCUUUGUUGCAAUCCAUGCUAAAUUCUCCUCAUGCUUAUAGUCAAAAUAAAGCUUUUACUAAACAUAUCGUUGAUGCUUCGAUGCAAUCUUACAAAGAAAAAACUUGA